GGGGGUGAUUUGGCUUCGACGGGGGUAGCAGAGCUUGAGGUGCAUGCCGAGAGGGUAGUGACUCUCGUUAAUAAAUCGCUGUAACUUUUUAUAGUUGCCAACGACGAAAACUACGCACUAGCGGCCUAAAAAACCCGCUUACGCUGAUGAUCUUAGCCUGCAGGGUGAAAUCGGCGGCAAAGUUAGCAGGAUCGCGUGGAUAUCUCGUCCGGGGUUGACACGUUAAACUUAAUCGGACUCGCUGAAAACGCCCUGACCGUCGGGUAGCUGGAUGCUAAAUUAGUAGACGGACUCUAAGCAUGUAGAGCCAAUUGCCGAGCGCCAGCGGACGCGGGUUCAACUCCCGCCACCUCCACCA
This 358-nucleotide transfer-messenger RNA is filed under the name Pseudomonadales. Its description in RNAcentral is "UBA2965 sp002707325 Standard tmRNA". It matches the Rfam family "transfer-messenger RNA". From Rfam's summary of the family: Bacterial tmRNA, also known as 10Sa RNA or SsrA, is named for its dual tRNA and mRNA-like properties. Its role is to liberate the mRNA from a stalled ribosome. To accomplish this part of the tmRNA is used as a reading frame that ends in a translation stop signal. RNAcentral also lists the same sequence under 1 other name. Lineage: Bacteria; Pseudomonadati; Pseudomonadota; Gammaproteobacteria. The record is from RNAcentral.